UGGUAACCAUGGCGGACGGGUGAGUAACGCGUAAGGAACUUGCCUGCGGGACUGGGAUAACAGCAGGAAACUGCUGAUAAUACCGGAUAAGGUCAUUAAGCUGCAUAGCUUAGUGAUGAAAGGAGACGCCUGCGGAGAGCCUUGCGUCCUAUUAGCUAGUUGGAGGGGUAACGGCCCACCAAGGCGAAGAUAGGUAGCCGGCCUGAGAGGGUGGACGGCCACAAGGGGACUGAGAUACGGCCCUUACUCCUACGGGAGGCAGCAGUGGGGAAUAUUGGACAAUGGGGGCAACCCUGAUCCAGCAAUUCUGUGUGCACGAAGACGGUUUUCGGAUUGUAAAGUGCUUUCAGCAGGGAAGAAGGAAGUGACGGUACCUGCAGAAGAAGCGACGGCUAAAUACGUGCCGGCAGCCGCGGUAAUACGUAUGUCGCGAGCGUUAUCCGGAAUUAUUGGGCAUAAAGGGCAUCUAGGCGGCCUUUCAAGUCAGGGGUGAAAACCUGCGGCUCAACCGCAGGCCUGCCUUUGAAACUGAUAGGCUGGAGUACCGGAGAGGUGGACGGAACUGCACGAGUAGAGGUGAAAUUCGUAGAUAUGUGCAGGAAUGCCGAUGAU
RNAcentral lists this ribosomal RNA (612 nucleotides) under uncultured bacterium. RNAcentral's name for it is "bacterial SSU rRNA". It matches the Rfam family "Bacterial small subunit ribosomal RNA", at positions 87 to 716 of the family's 1533-position model. The record is from RNAcentral.